CAAGUGACCUGAUCUGUCUGGGAGCAAUUAGGCUCUGGUGGAGGAACCUGGGGGACUUGGGGAGUGAAACCACAGGCAGGAAAGGCCUGGGAAUGACCUGAUGAGACCAAAGAAGCUAUCACCCAGGGUAAGAGGAAAAGUCAGCAAAGAUGAUGUAGCUUCUGGCUUUCUCAUUUACAGCUUAGCUGCUGGAAGAAUCUCAGAUGGAUCGUACAGCAUUGGAAAUCAGUGCCUGGGCUGCACAGACCUUGCUGGCACGGACGGUUAGAAGAGCUGGCCAGCCUCAGAAGAGCAACGCAUCAAGUAGAGAGACUCUCGCCCUGUAGCAAGCUGAUCUGGAUCCAGGGUUUGGAUCUCCCAAAGCUCAAGUGGGACUGGAUUUUUUUUUGCUUUGGGCCCAGUGCUCAUAACAGUGCAGUCCUGGAUUAGGUGAGCGCCGAGAGGUGUGGCCAGCUUGUGGAUGUGCUCCACUGUCCCCUACUGCAUGGAAUCAGAACUGUUCCGUGUGUGACUCAGCCCUUACGUUAUGCUGCUAACAACUAUAGGAGAGUCUCCUUUAACUCGAGUGGGAGGGGCUUUGGGAGCAGGAGGGGCAGAGCUCUGUCUUUGCUGUCAUUGUGCAUGCAAUUCUAAGCCGCCAUGGAAGUGCAGUGAGAGCUGUGAAAUCCUAGCUGGCCACAGCUUUUUUACAACAGUCUCAACUGUGUGUGUUACCCUUAAACCCUUGAGUCUGGCCAUACUGUUACAGCCUUUAGUGACAGUGUAACCCAUCCAACACAGCACUGACCCGCAGAAAGGACUGUAUAUAACAUAACGGGUGUGUAACAACAUUACCUAGCUCUUAUCUAGCA
Long non-coding RNA from Chelonia mydas (Green sea turtle), 851 nucleotides. RefSeq lists it as uncharacterized. Lineage: Eukaryota; Metazoa; Chordata; Testudines; Cheloniidae. The record is from RefSeq and is a predicted model, not a curated record. The transcript is spliced from 3 exons.